RNAcentral lists this long non-coding RNA (372 nucleotides) under Olea europaea subsp. europaea. Lineage: Eukaryota; Viridiplantae; Streptophyta; Magnoliopsida; Lamiales; Oleaceae. The record is from RNAcentral.
CUGCUCUUUUUUGUCCAACUUCUCAUUUCCUCCUUCGAUUGCCUUCCCCUUUCCCAAUUUAAUCAACCAUCCAGUCAAUCAGAGGCUGGUUCAAUCGAUGAUUGGGCACCGCUCUAUUCCCUCUCCCAUUGUUCAAUCACUGAUUGUCGACUGCUACUAAUUUUUACUCUCGCCGGCCUAUCUCUUCUCAUUUCUACCUCCAGUAAGUCGCCCUACAGUUAUUGUUUUGUCUUGGGUCUGGGACCCUAUAUGCUCACCAUUUUCCUCUCUCUCUAUUCUCGUUUGUGAAAAACUCUGUGAAUUUUUAUGAUAUUAAUCAUUUGUUUUGAUUUUUUUUUGUAGUCACAGUGAGAAGCGUAUUUAUAUUCAAUG